UGCAGAAGGUUCUUGAAAUUUCUGCAUUGACAAAAACAGAUAAUAACUUCUCUAGCAUGUAGCACACUAAUUCAGUUUUUAUUUUGCUCUGUGACCACCUCUUUUUUUAUCUUGUUGACAACGCGUGUAUAAUUUACAAACAAUGUCGUAUCUAUAAUUAAUUAAACUAGCAGAAAUUUAACAAUUGUUAGUAAACAACAAAUAAUUUAUUCUACUUUUGAUCGUUUAAAUAGUUCUCAUGCUUCUGGAGUUACUGGACUAUAAAUGACACAAUCUUGCAUCAGAUGACAAUUGAUGCCAUAUUUACAUGCAUUACACUCUGACUAGCAGACAUGUUUAUGGCCAUAAAAAGAAAUUAUAAGGAAACCUCCUCAAUUCAAGUUGGCAAAGACCUUUCAUUGAGUGUGAGUGAUACAACAAUAUAUGUGGUCUUUUAGUCACAUGCAACUCAAGAUCAGAAUUGGCCUUUUAGGUUAUUUCAUGACAUUUGGAUUGCUUUGAUUCCGUUUUUGUAGAUAGCCAG
Molecule: unclassified non-coding RNA, 523 nt
Filed under: Hevea brasiliensis (rubber tree)
Lineage: Eukaryota; Viridiplantae; Streptophyta; Magnoliopsida; Malpighiales; Euphorbiaceae
Source: RNAcentral